UACGAAGGGUGCUAGCGUUGUUCGGAAUUACUGGGCGUAAAGCGCGCGUAGGCUGUUUAUCAAGUCAGAGGUGAAAGCCCUGGGCUCAACCCAGGAACUGCCUUUGAAACUGAUAGACUUGAGUACUGGAGGGGAUAGCGGAAUUCCUAAUGUAGAGGUGAAAUUCGUAGAUAUUAGGAGGAACACCGGUGGCGAAGGCGGCUAUCUGGACAGUAACUGACGCUGAGGCGCGAAAGCGUGGGGAUCAAACAGG
RNAcentral lists this ribosomal RNA (253 nucleotides) under uncultured bacterium. RNAcentral describes it as "partial 16S ribosomal RNA". It matches the Rfam family "Bacterial small subunit ribosomal RNA", at positions 524 to 776 of the family's 1533-position model. The record is from RNAcentral.